UACGGAGGAUCCGAGCGUUAUCCGGAAUUAUUGGGUUUAAAGGGUGCGUAGGCGGCCAUUUAAGUCAGCGGUGAAAUUUUGCAGCUUAACUGUAACAGUGCCGUUGAUACUGUUUGGCUAGGAUUUGGUUGUAGUGUGCGGAAUGUGUGGUGUAGCGGUGAAAUGCUUAGAUAUCACACAGAACACCGAUUGCGAAGGCAGCACACUAAGUCAUUAUUGACGCUGAGGCACGAAAGUGUGGGGACCAAACAGGAUUAGAUACCCCGGUA
This 269-nucleotide ribosomal RNA is filed under the name uncultured prokaryote. Its description in RNAcentral is "partial 16S ribosomal RNA". It matches the Rfam family "Bacterial small subunit ribosomal RNA", at positions 524 to 792 of the family's 1533-position model. The record is from RNAcentral.